UGUAACUCUCCGCUCCCGGAAUCAUGACAAGCGAGCUUCUGGCAUUUUCAGCGGGGACGCACUUUCAUAAGUUGCGCUGUUAUUUCAGUACCAUCGUCAUCGUUACACAAGAUAAAGCGGACAUGGGUGACGUUCCAAUGAUCUGAACAUGGAGGUUCAGCCGAAGAAAAGAUCGAGGAACCGAACGAGGUCCUCCACUGCCAGUGGAUGUGUUGGCCUUGGCCUGUGCUCUCUCCUUGACCCGCUGCUGAGCUCCAAUUCCCUUUCUCCCGUCACCGUGGGAUACCUGGCUUGAUUGACAGCUCUAAAGAGUGCAGCCACCCGUGGCCAGGACGGCAGUAACGGCCACGACGCCAGCGUUUCAUUCGCACCAAACCCAGUGGCGGAACCAUGAUGAAGAUGAGAUGGAUUUGGACUGGAUUUGCCAUUUGGAUUUGCAUGAUGGUUGCCAGGUCCACGUCACAAAUCCCCCCCUCUGUUUGACCACUGAAAGAUGUUCACUGACGUUUCAGAAAAGGGAGAAGCUCACUUUGCCCUCAAGGUCCAGUAUUUCUCUCUCUCUCUCUCUAGAUGGAUGACAUCAUUAUCAGUGAUAUACUGACCCUCAACACUGCAGGAUUACUACACACUUUAUGGCAAGCCCCAAAAGGUCUGUGCCCAGGUGAGUGUGCACCUGUCUCAACUGCCAUAUACUCCCAAACUCACACGCACACACACACACACACACACACGCGCACGCACACACACACACACACACACACUGGAGCAGAUCUUCCUAUGCUGCCAAUGGAUGUUACUGUAUCGUAUAUGAAUGAGUUUGCUGACACACCUCCUGCUAACAACAUAACCUGUUGGCACACUUCUUUUAUAUUAUCCAUAAUUCUAGCGUGUUAUAUGGCUGGAGAUUGUUUUUGUCUAACUGGCUAGUUCUCUUCUAUUGUGUUCUCUGUGUGUUUCUGUGUGUGGGCUGAUCUCUGUGUGCUUGUGUGAGUGCUCUGCUCAGACUGGCGCCUGCCCUGACAGAAGAGCUUCCAGCAGCGCUGAAGGUGUGCACUUGGCUCCUCCACUGUCACCUCCAUGCUGUGCCAUGGUAACGCCGAUGUUUGUUUGAGUUGAUAGAGUCACUUCCUCACCCAACCAGUCAUGCACAUGCUGAGCUCUUCCAGCUGUCCCUCUCUCUCUCUCUCUCUCUCUCUCUCUGUGUGUGUGUGUGUGUGUGUGUGUGUGUGUGUGUGUGUAUGUGUGUGUGUGCGCAAAUGCAUCCAUAGAGCUCAUGUUUGUAUGAGAAUAUAUAUCAGAAUAUAUUUUCGUGUGUGUACUUGUGUAAUGUGUGUGCGUUUGUAAGUUCAUGUUUGGAUGGAUGUGUGUGUUUUUUGUGAGUGAGUAUUUGUGUAUGUGAGUGUGUGUGUAUGUGUAUGUAUAUAUACACACAUAGUUUGUGUGUGUUUGGGAGGGGGGGGUAUUCUUGUCUUCACCUUACAUUGUGUGGUUGCAGCACUGCCUUGGUCCGUCCCCCAAAGUCUUCCCCGGGAAGCUGGUUUCAGAUGGUGGAUUAGAUGUACGCUUCUCUGGUCUAGCACCAUUUGAAAUCAGUGUUCCCGGGGGCAGAAGAGCAUCUGUGACACAGGGGUCACCAAGAGGUCAAGACAGGGUCAUUCACAGCCUACACGUGGAUCACACAAUCACAAGGACUGGAUAUACAGACAAAAUAAAAAAUACCACACCAUAAAAAUAUUACACCAAUUUCCACUCCACAGGAUUAGAAAUAUCUAUGGUUCCUACACAACUGAAGUGUAUCCGUAUGACAUUCAUUUGAUGUUAUUGGUUUCCUUGCCUGUAGGGAUUCUGUAUAACACAGGGCUGGAGUGGUGAUAUGUAAACUGGGUAGUCUUACUGAAGGUGGCAGUGAAAGAACAAAUUAGCCUAGCUUGCAAAUGAGUGCAUAAGUUACAGUGCUGUCAUUAAUUACUGUGCAUGACCUGCUAUGUAAGCAUGGUUGCUGUAUAGCCUUGCGGUGAGAGAGCCAACUACACGCACAAAUUGGACUAAAAAACAGACACAAAGGUCAUUAUCUUUUGAUGAAUGUGUGCUACCUCAAAUAUAUCCCCAUCCAGCAACGUACCACAGGCAAUAUUUUAGUGUGCAAGGCCAUGGGUAACAAGAGGCAACACACACACACACACACACACACAAACACAAGCUCUCUGCCUCCCUCUCCCACCCUGACAUUUCUCCCCCCACCUAAAGAUGACUGAUUUCCUCUGGUGUUUAGAGCCGCCUUGCCUUCUAGCACCAUUUGAAAUCGGUUAUGAUGACUGGGGAUCAAUGCUGCAGUGCAAACCUACCGGCACACGGGAGAGAGGGGCGAUCACAGGGACAGACUUCAGAGCUACAACAGCAGAGCUACAAUACAGACUUCAGAGCUACUUUGUGGGAAUAGCUGAAAUGUAUAGGAAUGAUUAUUUUUAAAGCAACUAUCAUCCUACCACAGAUAAUAAGGCUGUAUCUCUCUCUUUCUCUCUCUCUAUCUCUCUAUCUUUCAUCUAUCUAUCUAACUAAGUUUGGCUGGCUGUCUUUCUUUUGAUUUGUCUCUCCAUCUGUCUGUCUGUAUAACCAAAUAAAGUUUUUAAAGACCA
Molecule: long non-coding RNA, 2636 nt
Organism: Clupea harengus (Atlantic herring)
Lineage: Eukaryota; Metazoa; Chordata; Actinopteri; Clupeiformes; Clupeidae
Exons: 4
Source: RefSeq, a predicted model, not a curated record